CCUACGGGUGGCAGCAGUAGGGAAUUUUGCGCAAUGGGCGAAAGCCUGACGCAGCAACGCCGCGUGAUCGAGACGCUCUUUGGGGUGUAAAGAUCCGUCCGUCGGGACGAAACUUGACGGUACCCACAUAGGAAGCCCCGGCUAACUCCGUGCCAGCAGCCGCGGUAAUACGGGGGGUGCAAGCGUUGUCCGGAAUCAUUGGGCGUAAAGAGUUCGUAGGCGGCAGGUAAAGUCUGGUGUUAAAGGCAGGGGCUCAACCUCGGUACGGCACUGGAUACUUGCGAGCUAGAAUGCGGUAGAGGUAAAGGGAAUUCCUGGUGUAGCGGUGAAAUGCGUAGAUAUCAGGAGGAACAUCAGUGGCGUAGGCGGUUUACUGGGCCGUAAUUGACGCUGAGGAACGAAAGCCAGGGGAGCAAAUGGGAUUAGAUACCCGAGUAGUC
Molecule: ribosomal RNA, 440 nt
Filed under: uncultured bacterium
Lineage: Bacteria
Description: partial 16S ribosomal RNA
Rfam family: Bacterial small subunit ribosomal RNA
Source: RNAcentral